This 231-nucleotide ribosomal RNA is filed under the name uncultured bacterium. Its description in RNAcentral is "partial 16S ribosomal RNA". It matches the Rfam family "Bacterial small subunit ribosomal RNA", at positions 103 to 334 of the family's 1533-position model. The record is from RNAcentral.
CGGGUGAGUAACACGUAUGCAACCUACCUGUAAGAGGGGAAUAACCCGGAGAAAUUCGGACUAAUACCGCAUAAUACUGUUUACCUGCAUGGGUGAACAGUUAAACAUUUAUGGCUUACAGAUGGGCAUGCGUAUGAUUAGAUAGUUGGUGAGGUAACGGCUCACCAAGUCAACGAUCAUUAGGGGUUCUGAGAGGAAGGUCCCCCACACUGGUACUGAGAUACGGACCAG